UACGGAGGGUGCAAGCGUUAUCCGGAUUCACUGGGUUUAAAGGGUGCGUAGGUGGGCAAGUAAGUCAGUGGUGAAAUCUCCGGGCUUAACCCGGAAACUGCCAUUGAUACUAUCUGUCUUGAAUACCGUGGAGGUUAGCGGAAUAUGUCAUGUAGCGGUGAAAUGCUUAGAUAUGACAUAGAACACCAAUUGCGAAGGCAGCUGGCUACACGAAUAUUGACACUGAUGCACGAAAGCGUGGGGAUCAAACAGG
Molecule: ribosomal RNA, 253 nt
Filed under: uncultured bacterium
Lineage: Bacteria
Description: partial 16S ribosomal RNA
Rfam family: Bacterial small subunit ribosomal RNA
Source: RNAcentral